RNAcentral lists this ribosomal RNA (715 nucleotides) under Alteromonas macleodii. RNAcentral describes it as "bacterial SSU rRNA". It matches the Rfam family "Bacterial small subunit ribosomal RNA", at positions 111 to 826 of the family's 1533-position model. Lineage: Bacteria; Pseudomonadati; Pseudomonadota; Gammaproteobacteria; Alteromonadales; Alteromonadaceae. The record is from RNAcentral.
UAAUGCUUGGGAACUUGCCUUUGCGAGGGGGAUAACAGUUGGAAACGACUGCUAAUACCGCAUAAUGUCUUCGGACCAAACGGGGCUUCGGCUCCGGCGCAAAGAGAGGCCCAAGUGAGAUUAGCUAGUUGGUAAGGUAACGGCUUACCAAGGCGACGAUCUCUAGCUGUUCUGAGAGGAAGAUCAGCCACACUGGGACUGAGACACGGCCCAGACUCCUACGGGAGGCAGCAGUGGGGAAUAUUGCACAAUGGGGGAAACCCUGAUGCAGCCAUGCCGCGUGUGUGAAGAAGGCCUUCGGGUUGUAAAGCACUUUCAGUUGUGAGGAAAAGUUAGUAGUUAAUACCUGCUAGCCGUGACGUUAACAACAGAAGAAGCACCGGCUAACUCCGUGCCAGCAGCCGCGGUAAUACGGAGGGUGCGAGCGUUAAUCGGAAUUACUGGGCGUAAAGCGCACGCAGGCGGUUUGUUAAGCUAGAUGUGAAAGCCCCGGGCUCAACCUGGGAUGGUCAUUUAGAACUGGCAGACUAGAGUCUUGGAGAGGGGAGUGGAAUUCCAGGUGUAGCGGUGAAAUGCGUAGAUAUCUGGAGGAACAUCAGUGGCGAAGGCGACUCUCCUGGCCAAAGACUGACGCUCAUGUGCGAAAGUGUGGGUAGUCGAACAGGAUUAGAUACCCUGGUAGUCCACACCGUACACGCUGUCUACUAGCUGUGUG